GCAAGCGGAAGAGGCCGGGGUAGCGGAGAGAGGCUCCGAGACCGUUUGGCGGCGGUGAGUCUGGGGCCAGCCCGAGCUGAAAGUCCCAGAUCCGGGGAGACGCCAAAAGAAACGGAGAUACCUGGGGUUCCGGAGCAGUCGCUGCUGGUUGCUGCAGCUGCCCUGCCGCUGCCGCCGCGACGCCUCCGCCCUCCCUGCUGAAGACGCGGCCCUGACAGGCCUGUAGGCCUAGGCGCGGCCGGCCGAGCCCGACGUGUUGCCGCCCGUGCAGCUAUCCUAUUGGAGAGGAGAGAAAUUGGAGGUUUUAAAAGAAGCAGAAAGGAGGCUGCAAAACCCAGGCAUUAGGUGACUAAAGCUGCAAUGAUGACAAUGGAGAGGGAAAAAAUGUCGAGAUUGGGGUGUCUACCCAAACUGGAGUUUUGAUCUCAUUCUAUAGAAGAAAGAGCUCCAAAAGAGAGAAGAAAGAGAAAAGAGAGAAAUGGCUAGAGUCUUAAGGAGUACAAAGGAGAAUAUUAGGCAAGAUUGGUAGGAUAUGUGAAAUUUUGAAGUCUCAAUGAAUUUUAUGAUGUUUUAUCACAGACUGUAUUAUAAACACAAGCCACCAACCACUUCCCCAUCCCUCUAUUUCUACCUUUAUAUGAGACUUCAGUCAUCACUUAACGUUAUUUUCCAAUUUGUGGGCGAGUCAAA
Molecule: long non-coding RNA, 690 nt
Organism: Lagenorhynchus albirostris (white-beaked dolphin)
Lineage: Eukaryota; Metazoa; Chordata; Mammalia; Artiodactyla; Delphinidae
Exons: 3
Source: RefSeq, a predicted model, not a curated record